GAGGCAAAACAUAACCUAAAACUAAAAAGAUCUGCGGCUCUGUCUCCGUCUCUUGCUAGGCUACUUGCUUUUAAUGAUCUUCAUAUAAAUUUAAGAUUAUUUAUUUCUUUUGUAAAAGUUUUAUCUAUUCACAAAUUGUUUAUUUAAGUUGCUGGAUUUAUUUAUUUAAUAUUUGUAAGCUACAAGGUAACAUUACAAGAAGCAAUGACAGUUUUGAAUAAAUUGGGCUUUUCUCUGUUCAAAUCGUCACGUUCAUUCAUCAAACAAAAACUUUUAUAUAAUAAUCAAAUGAAUUUUCUCAGCUCCCAAGUUAUUUCCUCUAAAUUAGUUUGUGAUAACUUUGGUGAUCCUAAAGAAGUUAUAAAUCUACAGGAGGAAUCAUUAUCCAUGCCUGAAAACAAUGAGGUGUUGGUAAAGGUGGUGAUGGCUCCUGUAAACCCGGCCGACAUUAACAUGAUCCAGGGCGUGUAUCCAGUAAAAUUGCCGUUACCGCAAGCGGUGCCUGGCAACGAGGGCGUUGGCGUCGUGACGCACGUUGGCUGUGACGUCACUCAACUGAAACCCGGCGACCGCGUAGUGCCCGCUUCGCCCGCCCUCGGUAUGUGGCGCACACAUCUGCGCGUAAAAUCCGACCAACUCAUCAAGGUACGAGACGACGUGGACUUUGUGGACUUGGCCGGUAUCACAUCGAACCCGUGCACGGCGUACCGGCUGCUCAAGGACUUUGUGACGCUACAGGAGGGCGACGUGGUGAUCCAAAAUGGCGCGAACGGGGCGGCCGGUCAGAACGUGAUCCAGCUCUGCAAGGCGUGGCGUCUGCGCUCUGUCAACGUGGUGCGCGACAGACCUGACUUGGACCAGUUGAAGGACCAUCUCAUGCAGUUGGGGGCUACUCACGUCAUCACCGAGGAGGAAUUGAGAAAAUGGCAACUAGACAUAUCCAAACCGAAGCUGGCACUGAACUGCGUGGGCGGCAAGAACGCGCUGGAAGUGCUGCGAAAGCUAGACCAGGGCGGCGUGAUGGUGACGUACGGCGGCAUGUCACGUGAGCCGGUCACGGCGCCCACGGCGUCAUUCAUCUUCAAGGACUUGACGUUGCGGGGAUUCUGGAUGACGCGCUGGGCCGACCUCAACAAGAACUCCCCGGCCAGACGGGAGAUGCUGGACGAGCUGAUGUGCUACAUGCGUGACGGCCGGCUCAAGGCGCCGCAACACAAGCUGGUGUCGAUCGGCGAGUAUCGUGACGCGCUGGCCAACACUAUGAACCCGCGCGGCUUUGCCGGAUGCAAGUAUAUUUUUGAUAUGCGUGAAGAGGGAGAGAGGUGUUAGUGAUAUUUUUAGGUUGGGUGCAUAUUCUCAGUGCAGGUAAAUUAUUGAUAUGCGUGUAGAAGGAGAGAGGUGUUAGAGGAAGAUUCAAGUAAACUGCAUAUAUUAUUCUCGGUACCUAAAAGUGCAUUUUUGAUACGCGUUUGGGUUGAAACAUAUUGGAGCGGCAAAGGUAGAGUGUAUAAUUGGAAGUACAUUUUUGAUAUGCGUGUAGAAGAAGAGAGUUGUUAAUGAUAUAUUCAAGUUAGCUGGAUAUUUUCGGAGCAGGUACAUUUUUGAUCCUCUUUUGGGCCAAAACAUAUUGGAGCUGCGAAUGUAGAGUGUACCAGAGAAGGUUGUUGAGAAUGUUGAAAAGUAAUGCAUAAACAAAUGUGUCAAAACAUAGUGCAGCGAUGGAGGUAGAGUAGAAAGUAGAAGCGGAGCCUUUUUAGAUAGAUACCUUAUUUAAACACUCUUAGCUUCAUUCUCUGCCAUACUCUACCUCCACUAGGUUUUGAUCACACUAAGUCUUGAACACUAGGUUUUGUGAGUUGUGUUUGGUCAGUUGUAUUGUGAUUAGUUGAGUUAUUAAUAUUGUAGUUCUUGGUUAAGGAAAUUCACAUUGUGCACAUUUUUAAAAAUGUUUUUAUCAACAAAAUUCUAGUAAUUAUUUAUUAUUGAAUAACAAGUAUUUGAAUGAAAAACACAGUAGCUGGGCCAAAACGUCUUUAAGCAGCCUGCACACAGGGACAAUUGUCACUAGCUGCCGCGGGAAUGCGGAAUUGGGAAUAUACGAAACUGAAAUUGACAUUUGAGUUUCGAUGACAUCCGAAACUGACGUUUCCAAAAAUAGCUAGUGGCUAUUAUUGUCCCUCUGUCAAGAGUACUUCAAUUUAAUCCAAAGUAGGGCAUCACCUCGUCAGUUUUUCACUCCAAGAAUGAAUAACUGAUAGGCCUAUAUAAAUGAUAAUAUUAUUACUUUCAAAUUCGAUAAGCUGAGAGAGAAGCCAAAUUUGAACGGAUGCUAGUCCAGAUUAGUUAGUUGUGUAAUUUAGUCAAUUCAGUUGUAAUGCUAUACUUUAUAAUCCAAAUUACGCACUCUCUAAGGCCUCAUUAGACACUGAAAUACCUUUAAGGAGAAAUAUCUUUCGAUAGAAAAAUUCAGACCAUUUAUCGAUCAAAUUUUCGACCUUGUAAAACGGUUCAUAGACAUCAAUCCCCGUUUGUAUUGGUGAAUGUUACUAUACUUUUUGGCUUUUUUGUAAAUCAUUUUAUUUGUGGUGGAUUUGGUUUGAACCUUCAAUGUAGUUAUCAUAAAUUAUAUAUUAUAAAUUAGUUCUGUAUAUUCUGGAGAGGAAGACGAUUGUUUAUGAAAAACCAAUCUAGUGAUGUAUUCACAAACGUUACAACUAUUCAGUCUUAUCUCACUGUUUUCUAAAAAACUUUUCAGACUCAAACACUAAUCCUAGUUUAGUUUAUCUUCGAUUAUCAUUUUUGAUCAUGGAUGGUGGAUGAAACACUGAAUACAACUAUUGGACUUUCUAAUUGAAUAAAAAGUAUGUAGCUUGUAAGUUUUGUGAUAUAUUAUUUUUAAUCUAUCGUUACCCUCAUGAUAGUCACCUAUUAUGAAAUGUGAUGAACAAAAUAAAAGUUGAGUAUUCUUU
Molecule: RNA transcript, 2969 nt
Organism: Nilaparvata lugens (brown planthopper)
Lineage: Eukaryota; Metazoa; Arthropoda; Insecta; Hemiptera; Delphacidae
Gene name: enoyl-[acyl-carrier-protein] reductase, mitochondrial
Exons: 5
Source: RefSeq, a predicted model, not a curated record